GACAGAGGGUGCAAACGUUGUUCGGAAUUACUGGGCGUAAAGCGAGUGUAGGCGGUUCGGUAAGUCGGAUGUGAAAGCCCCGGGCUCAACCCGGGAAGUGCACUCGAUACUGCCGAGCUAGAGUAUCGGAGAGGUUGGUGGAAUUCUCGGUGUAGAGGUGAAAUUCGUAGAUAUCGAGAGGAACACCGGUGGCGAAGGCGGCCAACUGGACGAAUACUGACGCUGAGAACUCGAAAGCGUGGGGAGCAAACAGG
Molecule: ribosomal RNA, 254 nt
Filed under: uncultured bacterium
Lineage: Bacteria
Description: partial 16S ribosomal RNA
Rfam family: Bacterial small subunit ribosomal RNA
Source: RNAcentral